Molecule: ribosomal RNA, 830 nt
Filed under: Phyllosticta alcides
Lineage: Eukaryota; Fungi; Ascomycota; Dothideomycetes; Botryosphaeriales; Phyllostictaceae
Description: eukaryotic LSU rRNA
Rfam family: Eukaryotic large subunit ribosomal RNA
Source: RNAcentral
CGGCGAGUGAAGCGGCAACAGCUCAAAUUUGAAAUCNGGGCUCUUUCAGAGUCCGAGUUGUAAUUUGCAGAGGGCGCUUUGGUGUUGGCAGCGGUCCAAGUUCCUUGGAACAGGACGUCACAGAGGGUGAGAAUCCCGUACGUGGUCGCUAGCCUUCGCCGUGUAAAGCCCCUUCGACGAGUCGAGUUGUUUGGGAAUGCAGCUCUAAAUGGGAGGUAAAUUUCUUCUAAAGCUAAAUACUGGCCAGAGACCGAUAGCGCACAAGUAGAGUGAUCGAAAGAUGAAAAGCACUUUGGAAAGAGAGUCAAAUAGCACGUGAAAUUGUUGAAAGGGAAGCGCUUGCAGCCAGACUUGCCUGUAGUUGCUUAUCCGGACUUUUGUCCGGUGCACUCUUCUGCGGGCAGGCCAGCAUCAGUUUGGGCGGUUGGAUAAAGGUCUCUGUCAUGUACCUCUCUUCGGGGAGAACUUAUAGGGGAGACGACAUGCAACCAGCCUGGACUGAGGUCCGCGCAUCUGCUAGGAUGCUGGCGUAAUGGCUGUAAGCGGCCCGUCUUGAAACACGGACCAAGGAGUCUAACAUCUAUGCGAGUGUUUGGGUGUCAAGCCCAGACGCGUAAUGAAAGUGAACGGAGGUGGGAACCCUUUGGGUGCACCAUCGACCGAUCCUGAUGUCUUCGGAUGGAUUUGAGUAAGAGCAUGGCUGUUGGGACCCGAAAGAUGGUGAACUAUGCUUGAAUAGGGUGAAGCCAGAGGAAACUCUGGUGGAGGCUCGCAGCGGUUCUGACGUGCAAAUCGAUCGUCAAAUUUGGGCAUAGGGGCGAAAGACUAAU